RNAcentral lists this transfer RNA (72 nucleotides) under Camelus bactrianus (Bactrian camel). It matches the Rfam family "tRNA". From Rfam's summary of the family: Transfer RNA (tRNA) molecules are approximately 80 nucleotides in length. Their secondary structure includes four short double-helical elements and three loops (D, anti-codon, and T loops). Further hydrogen bonds mediate the characteristic L-shaped molecular structure. tRNAs have two regions of fundamental functional importance: the anti-codon, which is responsible for specific mRNA codon recognition, and the 3' end, to which the tRNAs corresponding amino acid is attached (by aminoacyl-tRNA synthetases). tRNAs cope with the degeneracy of the genetic code in two manners: having more than one tRNA (with a specific anti-codon) for a particular amino acid; and 'wobble' base-pairing, i.e. permitting non-standard base-pairing at the 3rd anti-codon position. Lineage: Eukaryota; Metazoa; Chordata; Mammalia; Artiodactyla; Camelidae. RNAcentral also lists the same sequence under 2 other names. The record is from Rfam by way of RNAcentral.
GCGAGUAUAGCUCAAGCGGUAGAGCGCAUGCUUAGCAUGCAUGAGGUCCCGGGUUCAACCCCAGUACUUCCU